ACAGGCAACAUAACAAUGCAGUGGUUACAUUUUGGCCUGAGCACCAGUUUAUAGUCCCUCUUGCAUGUGAGGUUUCCUAUCCCCUUCGCUCUGUUUUCUGUCAGUGGUCUCGGCAAGGGGAAAAGAGCUUGAGGAGAAACUGCAUCUGCUGUAUACUGAAAACACCCACCGAAAAAUUUGUCAAGUUGUUCAGUGUCGGUGUACCCCAAGCCCAGAGGCUUUACUUUGCGCAAGACUAUCUUGUUUACCUGCUUCUCCAGAUGUAGGUUGCCAGAUCGUAGAAAGCACAUGCAGCCUAAAGGAGGUCUGAGGCUUUGGCUGUGGACCGGUGCCAUGCUGGGCCUACUUAUUAUCUCCAGAUGACAUCAGCCUGAGCAGCAGAUGCCUUUUUGGCCACAGGGACGAAGCCCAUAAGCUGAACUGGCGGAUGAAUGUGGAAAACAGAAGACAACUCAGACACCUCUCUCAGGCCUCCUGCGCAUCUCUCCCGGGACGGAGGAUUAGGCCGAGAGGGGAAAUGAAUGCUUGCUGGGUAGUCGGCCUUCUCUGUGCUGACAGCAGGAGGUCCAUUGUCUGGUUUGAUAAGCACGCAGGACACGGGACAUUUGAUCUGGCAGAACUGACGCACAUGAAACAGUUAGCGAGCACAGGGCUGCAGAAGAACCACAAUCCCGUUGGCAGGAAGUACUGAUGUUUCCAUAUGAGGGCUACAGUGUGAAGAAGAUUGUUUGUGAGAUUUAACAAUCGGUGAGACAAAGCAGCUCUGUUCUGAUCCAACGAAGGGAGCAGGGGUGGUUAAAAUUUCAUGCAAUCAAUGGCAUCAAACAUACAAUAAAGGCAAAUAGGUUUCCAGAAGACACGAGCAGCGUCUUACAUUAUUCUUCAUGAUCAAUGGAUAAUGCAAUAUCACAAACUUUUUUAUUUUUAUGUUUUUAUUUUUUGGGGGGGUCCAACAUUACCAUUCAGCUAUGGAGCACCACAGCGCACUGUUCCCCUCUCCCCACGAAACCCAUCAAGGGUAUUUAAGUCGCUGAUAAUUACUUCCCUGUCCCCAUUGAGGGGAGGAAGUGAGUGAGAGGGAAAUUAAGGGAGGGAGGAAGAGACUUUUAAAAGAGCUAAAGCUUCGCUGCGGCACAAAUCCUCUCAACCUAACAAAACCAAAUCAGCCUACAGCCUACAGCAAUCCACAGACCACUCUAUGUUCACACAUACACACACACUGGAAGAUGAUCCUGUAAAUCUGUGGUCUCAAGGGGCUUUUUGAGUGCUUCUCCAGAGGGCGUGGGGCUGGAAGGACGUGACAACGGGGUUCAAGGAUUGAAGGAAAGGCGUUAAUGUCCCCCAAUUGCAGCUAAAAUGUUACAUUAGGGUAGGUUAACUCCAAUCUGGGGUAUAGUGUUCCACUGCAGCUAACCACAGCCCUAAAUUGGGACAAGCCAUUAAGUCAAUAUAGAAAAGAUUACCUGAGAAAUUGAGGCUAGCUUUCCUCUCUGACAGGCUCAAACCCCCACAAAAGCCCAUGUCAAAAUUAGACUUGAGGCCAGGAGUCCGCCUGUUGCCUAGCCUUAGUCUAUAUAUUGACCUCCACUGGCUUGUUUGACAAAUAAAUAUGGCCACGACAGCAGGCUUGGUCACAAAUAGCUAAACCAGAACAACGCUGUGCAACUCUAAAGGGGACGGGUGGUCUUGAGGAGAGCGUGCAGUAUGAAGAAACUUUUUUUCUUUCUUUUAACCGUUCAAGUGCCCAUACAUUUUGACCCCGAACCCGUAAUAAUAUCACUAUACUCGAAGUGAGGCAGAGGAUCCCUGAAGUUGAAAUUAUAGAUUCACCGCUGAUUUCAACUUUUUUUUGAAAAUGAUCUAAAAUGUUUUGGUUUUUUUCCAUCUCCUCAUAUUUCUCUUUGUGGUCUGAAAAAGAAAGGACAUUGUAUGCUUAUUUGUUAUAUUGAUUUUAAUGAACUUGAUGUGUCUUACUUUAAUUGUUAUUUUCAACUUGGUUGAUAAGCUAACACAUACAGUGUUGUUUCUUUAAAUUAUUAUGGCCUUUAUGAUUUCUUAUCGAAAACAAAAUACUUGAAUGACGUUGUUAGGCCAUUGGUGAUUUAUUGGAAUAUUGUGUUUUUGUGUUGCUUCUUUCGUAGCGAGUAUGUACACUAAAACCACAUCCAUUGUAUUUUGAGCUUACUUUUAUGAAUAUUUUUAAUAUGUAUAACAAUAUUGACCGAUUUGAAGAGAUCGUUUUUCCUCCUG
Phyllopteryx taeniolatus (common seadragon) is the source of this 2250-nucleotide long non-coding RNA. RefSeq lists it as uncharacterized. NCBI's taxonomy places the organism in Eukaryota, Metazoa, Chordata, Actinopteri, Syngnathiformes, Syngnathidae. The record is from RefSeq and is a predicted model, not a curated record. The transcript is spliced from 3 exons.